Mercenaria mercenaria is the source of this 2413-nucleotide long non-coding RNA. RefSeq lists it as uncharacterized. The transcript has 3 exons. NCBI's taxonomy places the organism in Eukaryota, Metazoa, Mollusca, Bivalvia, Venerida, Veneridae. The record is from RefSeq and is a predicted model, not a curated record.
UUUGAGAUGGUGAGCCAGUAUCUCCAGAGUCACUACAGGUGAUUGUAGAUGCAAUGUUACAGGGACCGGGGAAGCAGUUGUGAAGUUAUGAUGUAGAUGCCUUAAUUACAGAGCCUUAUGCUGACCAUGACCGUGGUUUUAAUAGGUAGUGGGUCAGAUUGACAUAUUCUGGAUAUGACAUGUGUUACAAUGUGAUGUUUGGCAUAGCUAUGGACCAGGUUGUCGAAGUUCUCAACCAUUUCAAGAUCAGAAUUCAACAAGAAGAUAUCUUUAGCAGGUGCCAGAUGUGUGAUGAAAUGUUUACCUGACGAUUCCCUCUUAGGAUAUGGAGUUGCUAUCUCAGCAGAAAGUUCACAUUUUCUCUAGUCAAUUAACUGCAAAUUCUGGCCAGCCGUUGUGCGAAAAUGUCCAGCUACGAAAUGUGUGACUUAUUUGCCAAAUAAAUCAGAGGUGGGAUCAGAGUUUACUGAAUAUGGAAUAGACUAGUUUUCUUUCACAGUGCUGGGAAAUGGUGCUGCAGUACAGACCGAAACUGUGCCACAGUCUGUUUACAGUAAAAUGAACACAUUCUAUUGUUAUGCUACUUAUUCUUGGAAGGGACACAUUUUGAACUUGUCUGUGAACAGUUAUCAAAUGUUCUAGGAAUGCAAUCCAGUGGCCAAACAGCUUUUGAGAAGUUGAAUGAGAAUUUGACUUUAUAAAUGAAAGAAAAUUAAGAUUAGGAUUUAAAUGCAUAGUGUUUGAUCCACAUUUUUGUUUAAAGGGUUUUCAUGGUUUUGCCUUCUAGACGAGACUACUAGAGGAGACAUACUGUUUUUGCCCUGUCUGUCCAUCCAUCUGUGUGUCAAACUAUAUUUCCGAUCAAUAACUGGAGAACCAUUUAACCUAGAACCUUCAAACUUUAAAGGUUUAUAGGGCUUAUAGAGUAGAUAGGUCACAGGAAAUGAACAUGGAAAACUGUUUCUGAUCAAUAUCUUGAGAACCACUUGACUAAGAAUGUUGAAACUUCAUAGCAUGAUGGGACAUGCACAGCAGAUGACUUCUAUUGAUUUUGGGGUUACUCAAUCGAAGGUCAGUGUCACAGGGGCCAGAACAUGGAAGACUUUUUCCAAUCAUUAACUUGAGAACCAUUUGAUCCAGAACCUUCAAACUUCAUAGGGUGAUAUGACUUAAGUAGAUGACCCCUAUUGUUUUUGGGUCACUUGAACAAGGGUCAAGGUCACAGGGGCCUGAACAUGGAAAACCAUUUCUGAUUAAUAUCUUGAGAACCACUUGAUCCAGAAUGUCGAAACUUCAUAGGAUGAUUGGAUAUAUACAGAGUAUAUGACUGCAAUUAAUUUUGGGGUCACAUUAUCAAAGGUCAAGGUUACAGGGCAAGAACACGGUUCAAAUCCAUGACUUGAGAACCACUUGACCCGGAACAUUGAAACUUCAUGGGAUGAUUGGACAUGCCUAUUAGAGGAUUACCAUAAUUGCAUUUCAGUCACUAAGCCAACCAUCAGUGUCUCUUUGAUUUUCACUUUUGUCCCAUUUUGACUUCUUGCCUAUUACUACUAUGCUUUUGGGGAGGGAUGUGCUUUUCUACAAAAGCAUCUAGUUAUUCUUUGUAUAUCAUACAAUACCAUUAAUAUUAUUAAUUAUUCUUUAGAACAUUAAGGUGAUACUAGUAUUAGAAAAUUGCUAAAUUUUCAAACUCAGUAGGGAGAGCAUAGAUGUAUGGAUGGUGGGGUCAUGAGUUCGAUUCCUGGGCAGGGCAUAUGUUCCCCGUGAUGAUUUGAUAAGAAUCAUUGUGUCUGAAAACAUUCGUCUUCCACCUCUGGAUUAUAUGGGGAGAUUGCCAGUUACAUGUAGAGAACAGGUUUGUACCAGUACAGAAUACUAGUUAGAUUAACUGCCCACCGUUACAUAACUGAAAUACUAUUGAAAAAUGACAUUGAACACAAAACAAACAAAAUUUUUCCAAAAUACCUGAGUUAUUUUUGGAUUUUUUGUCAAAAAUGUUUUUGAUUAGAACAUCUUUCUUCAUUACAAACAUCAGAAAGUCUUAAUAUUUUGAGUUUUAAUUAUUUAUUUGUCAACAGGUUAUUGUAAAAUUUUAACGAUUUCUUUGCUAGCUUGAAAGCAACAUUACCUGGUAAAAAUUCUGUAAAAUUUUGGGAAAAAUAAGCAAACAGGAUAUUAACAUGAUAUUGAUAAAUGAAGCUGAAAUUUCAGAAAUACCUUAUGGAUUUAAUGCACCAAGUACUAGUGUGGAUGAAAUUUUAUCAUUUUGUAAAAUAAAUUGAAACUUUGAUUUUAUAUUUUUCAUGUUUGACUCUACAGUAUUUCUGGUUGAGACUUAAAGCAAUUUACCUCCAGACGUAUGCUUCUUUCAUGUUGAAAAAACACUUAAAGAUACAAUGAAGUUUUUCAU